This 1050-nucleotide ribosomal RNA is filed under the name Triticum aestivum (bread wheat). RNAcentral's name for it is "partial small subunit ribosomal RNA". Lineage: Eukaryota; Viridiplantae; Streptophyta; Magnoliopsida; Poales; Poaceae. The record is from RNAcentral.
AUGGCGGAACUUAUUGAUCCAAUAACUAAUGGUUGGAACAAAGACCUAGUGUGCCAAACUUUGAAUGCAGAAGAUGCUAAGAUAAUCCUACAUAUCCCCAUUUAUGAGCAUACAAAGGACUGUGUGGCUUGGCACUUCGACAAGAAUGGGAUUUUUUCCGUGAAGUCGGCAUACAAAGUAGCAGUACAUUGUGCAGAAAGGGAAUCAAGAUAUGGCCAGCCAUCUAGCUCUGCAAGCAGAGGACAAACAACUAAUUUUAAAUGGAAGAAAAUAUGGGCCUUACCUCUCCCGAAUAAAAUUUUGCACUUCCUAUGGCGUAUGGCAACAUACAGCUUAUCUUUAAGAAUGAAAUUGAGGGAUAGAGGAGCAGGAAAUCUGGAACAUGUAUCCAAUGCUCUCCACGCCAAAGCCCUGGCCAUGUUAUAUGCAAUCAGCACUACUGCACAAACGAGAUGUAAUCAUGUGAUAUUUGAAACAGACUCCGUGGUGUUGAAGCAGGCGAUCUUAAGCGAGGAGUAUAACUUGUCGACUUUAGGUGCCAUGUUUCAGGAAAUAAAAUUUCAGUUGAAUGUGGCUUUUGAUGAUGUAAAUGUUAGUGUUUGUCCAAGAUCUUGUAAUGUAGCAGCUCACAGCCUAGCAGCACCUGGUCUCAUCGACCCGCAGCACCCAGCUGCAGAGUCACUGGACAAGCAGAAGCCAAAGCACACCAUCAUCAGCCGCAUCGAGAAGCAAACAGGGAACAUUGAUUCUGAAAAAACAAAAAAAAGCUGCAGCCAACAAAGGAAAAAACUGAUACAAACCAGUAAACCACGAAUUGCUCUCACAAAAGUUAAUCUCGUCAACCAAAGAUACUCUAGGAAGAAGAGAGAUUUCCAGCUUACAACAACUAGAUCAAGCAACCAACAAACUAGAUCAAACCACAUACUCACGGUGAUCAAGAUAUUGUGUGAAACUCUCUCAUAUCAGAUCCAUGGUAAAACUGAGAACCUUCAUUCAUGGAGCAUGCUACAGGACUGCACGGAUAACUGCAAUGGCCAUUUCAGAACAUAA